UACAGAGGGGGCAAGCGUUGUUCGGAAUUACUGGGCGUAAAGGGCGCGUAGGCGGCCUGUUAAGUCGAACGUGAAAUCCCCGGGCUCAACCCGGGAACUGCGUCCGAAACUGGCAGGCUUGAAUCCGGGAGAGGGAUGUGGAAUUCCAGGUGUAGCGGUGAAAUGCGUAGAUAUCUGGAGGAACAUCGGUGGCGAAGGCGACUGCCUGGACCAGCACUGACACUGAGGCACGAAAGCGUGGGGAGCAAACAGG
RNAcentral lists this ribosomal RNA (253 nucleotides) under uncultured bacterium. RNAcentral describes it as "partial 16S ribosomal RNA". It matches the Rfam family "Bacterial small subunit ribosomal RNA", at positions 524 to 776 of the family's 1533-position model. The record is from RNAcentral.